GAGGAAAAGAAACCAACAGGGAUUGCCCUAGUAACGGCGAGUGAAGCGGCAACAGCUCAAAUUUGAAAUCUGGCGCAAGCCCGAGUUGUAAUUUGUAGAGGAUGCUUCAGGGCAGCGGCCGGUCUAAGUUCCUUGGAACAGGACGUCAUAGAGGGUGAGAAUCCCGUAUGCGACCGGUUGGCACCCAUCACGUAGCUCCUUCGACGAGUCGAGUUGUUUGGGAAUGCAGCUCUAAAUGGGAGGUAAAUUCCUUCUAAAGCUAAAUACCGGCCAGAGACCGAUAGCGCACAAGUAGAGUGAUCGAAAGAUGAAAAGCACUUUGGAAAGAGAGUUAAAAAGCACGUGAAAUUGUUGAAAGGGAAGCGCAUGCAACCAGACUCGUCGGCGGUGUUCCGCCGGUCUUUUGACCGGUCUACUCGCCGCCGACGGGCCAGCAUCACUUGGGGGCGCCGGAUAAAGGCGUGGGGAAUGUGGCUCCUCGGAGUGUUAUAGCCCCGCGCACAAUACGGCGAUCCUCGAGUGAGGUCCGCGCUUCGGCUAGGAUGCUGGCGUAAUGGUUGUUUGCGGCCCGUCUUGAAACACGGACCAAGGAGUCUACCAUCUAUGCGAGUGUUCGGGUGUCAAACCCCUACGCGUAAUGAAAGUGAACGGAGGUGGGAACCGCAAGGUGCACCAUCGACCGAUCCUGAUGUCUUCGGAUGGAUUUGAGUAAGAGCAUAGCUGGUGGGACCCGAAAGAUGGUGAACUAUGCCUGAAUAGGGUGAAGCCAGAGGAAACUCUGGUGGAGGCUCGCAGCGGUUCUGACGUGCAAAUCGAUCGUCAAAUUUGGGUAUAGGGGCGAAAGACUAAUCGAACCAU
RNAcentral lists this ribosomal RNA (858 nucleotides) under Pseudoteratosphaeria flexuosa. Its description in RNAcentral is "eukaryotic LSU rRNA". It matches the Rfam family "Eukaryotic large subunit ribosomal RNA", at positions 53 to 943 of the family's 3401-position model. Lineage: Eukaryota; Fungi; Ascomycota; Dothideomycetes; Mycosphaerellales; Teratosphaeriaceae. The record is from RNAcentral.